RNAcentral lists this ribosomal RNA (313 nucleotides) under uncultured bacterium. RNAcentral's name for it is "bacterial SSU rRNA". It matches the Rfam family "Bacterial small subunit ribosomal RNA", at positions 578 to 888 of the family's 1533-position model. The record is from RNAcentral.
GUUUGUGUAAGUCUGCUGUUAAAGACUGGGGCUCAACCCCAGAAAAGCAGUGGAAACUGCCAGACUUGAGUGUGGUAGAGGUAAAGGGAAUUCCUAGUGUAGCGGUGAAAUGCGUAGAUAUUAGGAAGAACACCAAUGGCGAAGGCACUUUACUGGGCCAUAACUGACACUGAGAGACGACAGCUAGGGGAGCAAAUGGGAUUAGAUACCCCAGUAGUCCUAGCCGUAAACGAUGGAUACUAGAUGUUGCACGUAUUAACCCGUGCAGUAUCGUAGCUAAGGCGUUAAGUAUCCCGCCUGGGAAGUACGCUCG